This is a long non-coding RNA of Drosophila rhopaloa, 1138 nucleotides long. RefSeq lists it as uncharacterized. The record is from RefSeq and is a predicted model, not a curated record. Lineage: Eukaryota; Metazoa; Arthropoda; Insecta; Diptera; Drosophilidae. The transcript is spliced from 2 exons.
AAGUCGCCGAUCUGCGAUAUAAUCGGAUCUUCCGUCUUCGUUACGGGCCUGAGCGGUUUUUCUUGUCUGUCGGCCAUGGUGUUUUUCAGGCUCUAAAAACUGAAAGAUUUAGGCCUACCAAGCUGACUGGUUUUCGUUGUGGGUGGACUUUCUCAAAUAUUUGCCGGGCUCCAGCACAAAUUGGACAUAUCGAGCGGUGCGGCUCAGUGCAGACUGGCGUGAAAUUAUGGAACCCGGGCAGAUAGAGAUUUCAUUUGCCAGCCAACCGGCCACCAGUUAACCGGUUUUCCCAGAGAGAGAGCCUCAGUGAUUCGACUUCGGAGUCGGUGGCAGCGUGACAAGUCGAGGGGCGGCUUAGCCGAGGGGAACUAGAAGUCGGGGGCAUUAGCACCACGGCCAACGGAUCCACCGGCAAAAUGGCAUUUGGAAAUAGGAGUACGGCCUCCAUUGCCGCUGCAGUUUGUCAGCCAAAAGGCCAAGCGACUGGGGCUAAACUUUUACUCUUUAAGUAGGUAAAUGAAGUCGGCUGCCUGGUUAAUUGGAGGAAGGUGCGCCCGGGGACCCGGCCCGUUUACUGGGAUCUAGCUGGCAGAUUAAGCCAUUGUCUGGCCGCAGAUAACCACGAGUCCCAGUUACCCAUUAAGAUGACUUAAUUAAGGAAGCACUGGCUCAGUGAAAGUUGGCGGGGAGGGCGGGAGAAAGGGAGCGGGACGAGCCGAGAUUUCAGGUCGGAGAUUCCGCGACAAGUUCCCACGGCAACGACAACCUGUCUGGCGGAGGCACUUUGCGCAAUCGUCAGUGGCUCUGGCUGGCAAAAUGUCACAACAAUUGCAAAUAAAUUAUAUAUGCAAAUUGGAUGGCCAAUCAAUGGAAUAGCCAUUCAGAAAACGCAGCGUUAUAAUACGAUCGCCACAUGAUAAAUCUGGCAAGAAACAAAGCACCCACUAGGGAAUGUACAAAUCUUGGUAGAUAUUUAUGCUUUGGCGAUGCCUUUGUUUAGACUUAAAAUUUCAAUUCAAUUGGCUUUGGCAUAUUUAAUGCGUAGCAAUUUGCAUUUGGUUAAACAAUUUUUAGUAGUCAAACUCUUGGCUAUUUUAGCGACAUUUUUUAAUAAAAUCUUAGCACUGUAAGUUCAGAA